GCCUACGGGGGGCAGCAGUAGGGAAUCUUCCACAAUGGGCGAAAGCCUGAUGGAGCAACGCCGCGUGGGUGAAGAAGGUCUUCGGAUCGUAAAACCCUGUUGUUAGAGAAGAAAGUGCGUGAGAGUAACUGUUCACGUUUCGACGGUAUCUAACCAGAAAGCCACGGCUAACUACGUGCCAGCAGCCGCGGUAAUACGUAGGUGGCAAGCGUUAUCCGGAUUUAUUGGGCGUAAAGGGAACGCAGGCGGUCUUUUAAGUCUGAUGUGAAAGCCUUCGGAUUAACCGGAGUAGUGCAUUGGUAACU
This 305-nucleotide ribosomal RNA is filed under the name uncultured bacterium. RNAcentral's name for it is "bacterial SSU rRNA". It matches the Rfam family "Bacterial small subunit ribosomal RNA", at positions 337 to 634 of the family's 1533-position model. The record is from RNAcentral.